RNAcentral lists this ribosomal RNA (778 nucleotides) under uncultured Neocallimastigales. RNAcentral describes it as "partial large subunit ribosomal RNA". It matches the Rfam family "Eukaryotic large subunit ribosomal RNA", at positions 23 to 645 of the family's 3401-position model. The record is from RNAcentral. Lineage: Eukaryota; Fungi; Neocallimastigomycota; Neocallimastigomycetes; Neocallimastigales.
AGAGAGAGACAUGCGCGCAUAUCAAUAAGCGGAGGAAAAGAAACUAACAAGGAUUCCCUCAGUAACGGCGAGUGAAGCGGGAAGAGCUCAAAUUUGAAAUCUUCAAGGUUCUACCUUGACGAAUUGUAGUUUAAAGAAGUGUUUUCUGUUGGAAGUUUUGGUAAAAGUUCUUUGGAAUAGGACAUCAUAGAGGGUGAGAAUCCCGUAUUUGACCAUUAUUUUCCAGCUUUGUGAUACACUUUCAAAGAGUCGGAUUGUUUGGGAAUGCAGUCCAAAAUGGGUGGUAAAUUUCAUCUAAAGCUAAAUAUUGGCGAGAGACCGAUAGCGAACAAGUACCGUGAGGGAAAGAUGAAAAGAACUUUGAAAAGAGAGUUAAACAGUACGUGAAAUUGUCAAAAGGGAAGCGUUUGACACCAGUGUUGUUUUCUCGAAAAUCAAUUAAAAAUGGCUCGAUUUUGUAUUGCUGAGACCUUAAAAGCUCACUGUACAUUUUUCGUGUCUUUUUUAAUGCACUUUUCGUUUAACAAGUCAACAUCAGUUUCUUUUGUUGUAAAAGGGUCAUUGGAAGGUGGCUUUCUUUUCGGAGAAAGUGUUUAUAGCCUUUGGCCUCUGCAAUCGGAAGAGACUGAGGUCUGCAGCGUAGACUCUUCGGGGUUAGAUACAUUUGUGCUAAGUUAUAGCCUUUUAUAGACAACUUGUUGACUAUGAUUAGUCAUUGUAGCUUACUCGCUUAUGCUAUUUUACCUACGCUUAGGAUGUUGAAGUCAUCGUAUCGCGC